CGGGUGAGUAACACGUGGAUAACCUACCUAUAAGACUGGGAUAACUUCGGGAAACCGGAGCUAAUACCGGAUAAUAUUUUGAACAGCAUGGUUCAAAAGUGAAAGACGGUCUUGCUGUCACUUAUAGAUGGAUCCGCGCUGCAUUAGCUAGUUGGUAAGGUAACGGCUUACCAAGGCAACGACGCAUAGCCGACCUGAGAGGGUGAUCGGCCACACUGGAACUGAGACACGGUCCAG
RNAcentral lists this ribosomal RNA (237 nucleotides) under uncultured Staphylococcus sp. RNAcentral's name for it is "partial 16S ribosomal RNA". It matches the Rfam family "Bacterial small subunit ribosomal RNA", at positions 103 to 334 of the family's 1533-position model. The record is from RNAcentral. Lineage: Bacteria; Bacillati; Bacillota; Bacilli; Caryophanales; Staphylococcaceae.